GUGGGGAAUAUUGGACAAUGGGGGGAACCCUGAUCCAGCCAUGCUGCGUGUGUGAAGAAGGCCUUUUGGUUGUAAAGCACUUUAAGCGAGGAGGAGGCUACCGAGAUUAAUACUCUUGGAUAGUGGACGUUACUCGCAGAAUAAGCACCGGCUAACUCUGUGCCAGCAGCCGCGGUAAUACAGAGGGUGCAAGCGUUAAUCGGAUUUACUGGGCGUAAAGCGCGCGUAGGUGGCCAAUUAAGUCAAAUGUGAAAUCCCCGAGCUUAACUUGGGAAUUGCAUUCGAUACUGGUUGGCUAGAGUAUGGGAGAGGAUGGUAGAAUUCCAGGUGUAGCGGUGAAAUGCGUAGAGAUCUGGAGGAAUACCGAUGGCGAAGGCAGCCAUCUGGCCUAAUACUGACACUGAGGUGCGAAAGCAUGGGGAGCAAACAGGAUUAGAAACCCCAGUAGUCC
Molecule: ribosomal RNA, 451 nt
Filed under: uncultured bacterium
Lineage: Bacteria
Description: partial 16S ribosomal RNA
Rfam family: Bacterial small subunit ribosomal RNA
Source: RNAcentral